RNAcentral lists this ribosomal RNA (160 nucleotides) under uncultured bacterium. RNAcentral describes it as "partial 16S ribosomal RNA". It matches the Rfam family "Bacterial small subunit ribosomal RNA", at positions 355 to 507 of the family's 1533-position model. The record is from RNAcentral.
UAGGGAGUUUUCGGCAAUGGGCGAAAGCCUGACCGAGCAACGCCGCGUGAGUGAUGAAGGUCUUCGGAUUGUAAAGCUCUGUUGCGAGGGACGAAACGUGCGAUCAGGAAAUGGGUCGCAUUUGACUAUACCUCGCCAGAAAGUGACGGCUAACUACGUG